This is a long non-coding RNA of Cyprinus carpio (common carp), 727 nucleotides long. Ensembl lists it as uncharacterized. Lineage: Eukaryota; Metazoa; Chordata; Actinopteri; Cypriniformes; Cyprinidae. The record is from Ensembl.
GCUAUGUCGAUCAGUCAUUCAUUUAGUAAUGUGUUUGUUGCAGUAAAGAAGUGAUGAGUGAGAACAGAGUUGGACUGUGGACAUAACCCUGAGGAGCACCGCACCAUGUUGCUGUGUUUCACCACUUGUGGUUUGCUGUGAUGAUGAAAUCCAGUGUCUAAUUGCCAGACAAGCUGCACAAACUCAGUGUUUCACAUUUCCAUAGUUUAUUUGAGAAAAUAACAGCUGAAUUUCAGAACUAAAGUUUAAACCAGAGAUGCCUCAGUGGUUCCAAACCAGUGAAGUCUAACACGUGGUGGUCGUCCAAGCUGCAGGAGGUCCAGCCCAGUCCAGGUGGGCGAGAAGGGGGUCUGGAAUGGAACAAAAGCAGAAUCAUGUCCCAUAAGAUCCACUCUCUAAUCAUCACACAUUCACAUCUCUGCAUGCUGUCGGGCAACUGGAUGGGGAGAAGUUGCCUUGUGGGUAUUUGGGCCUCCUGCUUUGGAUUCCCUCAGUGGUGGUCUUGGACAGAAGCACAACAGAUGCCCAAACAAGUCAGAGCAGAGCAACUUGGGAAGCAUCCCGGCAAUGUUGCCCCUCUUUCAUCCGGAAUUCCACACAGUCAUAGUCUGGAAUAUUUCAAUUCCCGUUCCGAUGCCACAUGGAAGAUACAUUAGCUGGCUGACCUCUGACCCCUUGUGUGUUUCUUUGGCUCUGUGUGUGUGUGUGAGGCACAAAAAUAAACAUU